UACGAAGGGUGCAAGCGUUACUCGGAAUUACUGGGCGUAAAGCGUGAGUAGGUGGUUCGUUAAGUCUGAUGUGAAAGCCCUGGGCUCAACCUGGGAAUGGCAUUGGAAACUGGCGACCUAGAGUGCGGUAGAGGGUAGUGGAAUUCCCGGUGUAGCAGUGAAAUGCGUAGAGAUCGGGAGGAACAUCCGUGGCGAAGGCGACUACCUGGACCAGCACUGACACUGAGGCACGAAAGCGUGGGGAGCAAACAGG
Molecule: ribosomal RNA, 253 nt
Filed under: uncultured bacterium
Lineage: Bacteria
Description: partial 16S ribosomal RNA
Rfam family: Bacterial small subunit ribosomal RNA
Source: RNAcentral